GUCGGGCGUGGUGGUGGGCGCCUGUAAUCCCAGUUACUUGGGAGGCUGAGGCAGGAGAAUCACUUGAACCUGGGAGGUGGAGGUUGCAGUGAGCCAAGAUUGCACCACUGCACUCCAGCCUGGGUGACAAAGUGAGACCCUGUUUCAA
RNAcentral lists this non-coding RNA (148 nucleotides) under Homo sapiens (human). The record is from Rfam by way of RNAcentral. Lineage: Eukaryota; Metazoa; Chordata; Mammalia; Primates; Hominidae.